UUCCCUCCCCCUGCCUCAUCCUCCUCUUGCUGAAAUGGACUCUGGGAGGGCUACUCUGCCUUUCUCUGAGCUCUCAGGUGCAGCUCACAGCCUUCUUUGUCUCCAGAUAACAGGUUGGUGGUAUAGCGUACGUACCUCAGCCUCACACAGCAGUGCCAGUGGGCACACGGGCCGUAGCAACGGGCAGUCAGAGGUGGCAGCCCAUGCCUGUGCCAGCAUGUGUGACGAGAUGGUCACACUGUGGAGGCUGGCCGUGCUGGACCCUGCACUCAG
RNAcentral lists this long non-coding RNA (273 nucleotides) under Homo sapiens (human). RNAcentral describes it as "long non-coding RNA NONHSAT155666". Lineage: Eukaryota; Metazoa; Chordata; Mammalia; Primates; Hominidae. The record is from RNAcentral.